GAUGAACGCUAGCGGCAGGCCUAAUACAUGCAAGCUGAACGGUAAAUAUUGUAGCAAUACAAUAUGAGAGUAGCGUAAGGGUGCGUAACACGUAUGCAAUCUGCCCUGUACAGGAGGAUAGCUCGGGGAAACCCGGAUUAAUACUCCGUAAUAUUAUUGGGAGGCAUCUCUUGAUAAUUAAAGUCGCAGGACGGUAUGGGAUGAGCAUGCGUCUGAUUAGCUAGUUGGUGGUGUAACGGACCACCAAGGCGAUGAUCAGUAGGGGAACUGAGAGGUUGAUCCCCCACACUGGCACUGAGAUACGGGCCAGACUCCUACGGGAGGCAGCAGUAGGGAAUAUUGGUCAAUGGAUGCAAGUCUGAACCAGCCAUGCCGCGUGCAGGAAGAAGGCUUUCUGGGUUGUAAACUGCUUUUGCCGGGGGAUAAAAAGUCCAUGCGUGGACAAUUGAAGGUACCCGGUGAAUAAGCCACGGCUACUACGU
This 482-nucleotide ribosomal RNA is filed under the name uncultured bacterium. RNAcentral describes it as "bacterial SSU rRNA". It matches the Rfam family "Bacterial small subunit ribosomal RNA", at positions 28 to 506 of the family's 1533-position model. The record is from RNAcentral.